Molecule: ribosomal RNA, 253 nt
Filed under: uncultured bacterium
Lineage: Bacteria
Description: partial 16S ribosomal RNA
Rfam family: Bacterial small subunit ribosomal RNA
Source: RNAcentral
UACGUAGGGGGCAAGCGUUGUCCGGAUUUAUUGGGCGUAAAGCGCGUGUAGGCGGCCACGCAGGUCCGCUGUGAAAACUCGAGGCUCAACCUCGAGCUGUCGGUGGAAACCGCGUGGCUAGAGUCCGGAAGAGGGGACUGAAAUUCCCGGUGUAGCGGUGAAAUGUGUAGAGAUCGGGAGGAACACCGGUGGCGAAGGCGGUCUUCUGGACGGUGACUGACGCUGAGGCGCGAAAGCGUGGGGAGCAAACGGG